AAUUCUUGUAAAGCCUGUGGGUACCGAG
Molecule: non-coding RNA, 28 nt
Filed under: Cricetulus griseus (Chinese hamster)
Lineage: Eukaryota; Metazoa; Chordata; Mammalia; Rodentia; Cricetidae
Source: RNAcentral